This 83-nucleotide transfer RNA is filed under the name Muribaculaceae bacterium. Its description in RNAcentral is "tRNA-Leu". It matches the Rfam family "tRNA". From Rfam's summary of the family: Transfer RNA (tRNA) molecules are approximately 80 nucleotides in length. Their secondary structure includes four short double-helical elements and three loops (D, anti-codon, and T loops). Further hydrogen bonds mediate the characteristic L-shaped molecular structure. tRNAs have two regions of fundamental functional importance: the anti-codon, which is responsible for specific mRNA codon recognition, and the 3' end, to which the tRNAs corresponding amino acid is attached (by aminoacyl-tRNA synthetases). tRNAs cope with the degeneracy of the genetic code in two manners: having more than one tRNA (with a specific anti-codon) for a particular amino acid; and 'wobble' base-pairing, i.e. permitting non-standard base-pairing at the 3rd anti-codon position. Lineage: Bacteria; Pseudomonadati; Bacteroidota; Bacteroidia; Bacteroidales; Muribaculaceae. The record is from RNAcentral.
GCGCAUGUGGCGUAAUUGGCAGCCGCGUUAGACUUAGGAUCUAAUGUCCUUGUGACGUAUGGGUUCGAGUCCCUUCAUGCGCA